Cavia aperea (Brazilian guinea pig) is the source of this 122-nucleotide small nucleolar RNA. The record is from Ensembl. NCBI's taxonomy places the organism in Eukaryota, Metazoa, Chordata, Mammalia, Rodentia, Caviidae.
ACCCUCCAGUUCCCUUUCCUCUCAGAUCUGAAUGUUCGUCUUGGUGGCCAUAAAGGAGGAAACAACACUGACGCUGGCCUCACAGCCUGCUACUCUGGCAUGUGGGCUAGUUUCAAAUUGGA